UAAAAUGAGAGCUUCUGCAGGAUUUUUAUUUAUCUUAGUGGCGGACGGGUGAGUAACGUGUGGGCAACCUGCCCUAUACUGGGGAAUAAUCACUGGAAACGGUGACUAAUACCGCAUGUCAUCACGAGAAGGCAUCUUUUUGUGAGAAAAGGAGUAAUUCGGUAUAGGAUGGGCCCGCAUCUGAUUAGCUAGUUGGUGAGAUAACAGCCCACCAAGGCGACGAUCAGUAGCCGACCUGAGAGGGUGAUCGGCCACAUUGGGACUGAGACACGGCCCAAACUCCUACGGGAGGCAGCAGUGGGGAAUAUUGCACAAUGGGGGAAACCCUGAUGCAGCAACGCCGCGUGAAGGAAGAAGGUUUUCGGAUCGUAAACUUCUAUCAACAGGGACGAAGAAAGUGACGGUACCUGAAUAAGAAGCCCCGGCUAACUACGUGCCAGCAUCCGCGGUAAUACGUAGGGGGCAAGCGUUAUCCGGAAUUACUGGGUGUAAAGGGAGCGUAGGCGGCACGCCAAGCCAGAUGUGAAAGCCCGAGGCUUAACCUCGCGGAUUGCAUUUGGAACUGGCGAGCUAGAGUACAGGAGAGGAAAGCGGAAUUCCUAGUGUAGCGGUGAAAUGCGUAGAUAUUAGGAAGAACACCAGUGGCGAAGGCGGCUUUCUGGACUGAAACUGACGCUGAGGCUCGAAAGCGUGGGGAGCAAACAGGAUUAGAUACCCUGGUAGUCCACGCCGUAAACGAUGAGUGCUAGGUGUCGG
Molecule: ribosomal RNA, 756 nt
Filed under: uncultured bacterium
Lineage: Bacteria
Description: bacterial SSU rRNA
Rfam family: Bacterial small subunit ribosomal RNA
Source: RNAcentral